Molecule: long non-coding RNA, 385 nt
Filed under: Rattus norvegicus (Norway rat)
Lineage: Eukaryota; Metazoa; Chordata; Mammalia; Rodentia; Muridae
Description: long non-coding RNA NONRATT013394
Source: RNAcentral
GGCAGACCCAGAGGCCAGAGCUCGCCCUCUGCUCCCCCACCCGCCUCCCUGCUUCCCACACAGCCCUCUGGGACUGGCAUGGUGUCUGGAGGCGGGCCAGCAACCUGAUGUGCAUGCCACAGCCCGUCCCUCUCCCCACACAGAGCUGCAGUAAUCCUGAGGUUCAGAGAGCCGGCUGGAGAGGCAGCUUCAGCACAGCAACCCUGUGACAGAGCAAAAGCCACUAAGCGGAUUUCGUCCCCCUUGCGAACAAGUGGAGUGAAGAGAGCCCCCAGCCUGCCAGCUCUUCAGUCUUGAACGCACCAUCGACAGUUGCUGCUGAGUCAUGGCCGAAGGGGAGAUCACAACCUUUGCAGCCCUGACCGAGAGGUUCAAUCUGCCUCUA